GAGAAGUUAGUUUAUUAAAAUAGUUACUUGUCAAGUAAUAGAUAUAUACUCUUAUAUACUUCUUU
RNAcentral lists this transfer RNA (65 nucleotides) under Xya japonica. Its description in RNAcentral is "tRNA-Asp". The record is from RNAcentral. Lineage: Eukaryota; Metazoa; Arthropoda; Insecta; Orthoptera; Tridactylidae.